RNAcentral lists this ribosomal RNA (506 nucleotides) under uncultured bacterium. Its description in RNAcentral is "partial 16S ribosomal RNA". It matches the Rfam family "Bacterial small subunit ribosomal RNA", at positions 28 to 507 of the family's 1533-position model. The record is from RNAcentral.
GACGAACGCUGGCGGCGUGCUUAACACAUGCAAGUCGAACGGUGAAGGGACUGGUUUUGCUGGUCCUGGAUGAGUGGCGAACGGGUGAGUAACACGUGAGUAACCUGCCCCCUUCUUCUGGAUAACCGCAUGAAAGUGUGGCUAAUACGGGAUAUUCUGGGUCUGUCGCAUGGUGGGCCUGGGAAAGAUUGCGCCUUUUUUGGUGUUUUUGGUGGGGGAUGGGCUCGCGGCCUAUCAGCUUGUUGGUGGGGUGAUGGCCUACCAAGGCGGUGACGGGUAGCCAGCCUGAGAGGGUGGACGGUCACGCUGGGACUGAGACACGGCCCAGACUCCUACGGGAGGCAGCAGUGGGGAAUAUUGCACAAUGGGCGCAAGCCUGAUGCAGCGACGCCGCGUGAGGGAUGGAGGCCUUCGGGUUGUGAACCUCUUUCGCCAGUGAAGCAGGCCUGCCUCUUUUUGUGGGUGGGUUGACGGUAGCUGGAGAAGAAGCGCCGGCUAACUACGUG